GCCGGGGUCGCCUAGCCUGGAAGGGCGCAAGCCUGGAAAUGUAGACCACAAAGCUUGUGGCCCGUGAGGGCCUCGAGGGUUCAAAUCCCUCUCCCGGCG
This 99-nucleotide transfer RNA is filed under the name Candidatus Nitrosocosmicus franklandianus. Its description in RNAcentral is "Candidatus Nitrosocosmicus franklandus tRNA". It matches the Rfam family "tRNA". Rfam says of the family: Transfer RNA (tRNA) molecules are approximately 80 nucleotides in length. Their secondary structure includes four short double-helical elements and three loops (D, anti-codon, and T loops). The record is from Rfam by way of RNAcentral. Lineage: Archaea; Thermoproteati; Nitrososphaerota; Nitrososphaeria; Nitrososphaerales; Nitrososphaeraceae.